This 253-nucleotide ribosomal RNA is filed under the name uncultured bacterium. Its description in RNAcentral is "partial 16S ribosomal RNA". It matches the Rfam family "Bacterial small subunit ribosomal RNA", at positions 524 to 776 of the family's 1533-position model. The record is from RNAcentral.
UACGUAGGGUGCAAGCGUUAAUCGGAAUUACUGGGCGUAAAGCGUGCGCAGGCGGUUGUGUAAGACAGAUGUGAAAUCCCCGGGCUCAACCUGGGAACUGCAUUUGUGACUGCACAGCUGGAGUGCGGCAGAGGGGGAUGGAAUUCCGCGUGUAGCAGUGAAAUGCGUAGAGAUCAGGAGGAAUACCGAUGGCGAAGGCAGGUCCCUGGGCUGACACUGACGCUCAUGCACGAAAGCGUGGGGAGCAAACAGG